RNAcentral lists this long non-coding RNA (396 nucleotides) under Mustela putorius furo (domestic ferret). RNAcentral's name for it is "lncRNA (ENSMPUG00000025680.1)". The record is from RNAcentral. Lineage: Eukaryota; Metazoa; Chordata; Mammalia; Carnivora; Mustelidae.
CUGAACUAUAAUCUCCAUUACAGUGAUGACAUAUUGAAGAGAAUGGCUGGACACCCUAGCCAGGUGGCUUCUCUGACUCCCUGCAACCAACCUAACCUUGAACCUGUCCAUCUGAAGGCAUGUUUGGGUCUGCAGAGUAGACUCACUCAACGAGGAUUUCUGCCGUGAACUAUUUCAGAAGGAAAAGGGAUUUUUUACUCAUAAGUUCAAAUAGAUGAAUUCCAUCCAGUCAAGAAAUAUGGACCAGUGGCUAUUACCUAUCAUUUUACCCCAUUCUCAGAUAAGCAAGAAAUGGACAUCCUGUGCCACGCAGAAUUUUGUUAGGAAGAUGCAAGCCUGUGAAGACAUUACUUCUGUAAUUUAACUGCCUGGGGUUUUUCUGCAGAAAAGGUUCAG